RNAcentral lists this ribosomal RNA (253 nucleotides) under uncultured bacterium. Its description in RNAcentral is "partial 16S ribosomal RNA". It matches the Rfam family "Bacterial small subunit ribosomal RNA", at positions 524 to 776 of the family's 1533-position model. The record is from RNAcentral.
UACGAAGGGUGCAAGCGUUAAUCGGAAUUACUGGGCGUAAAGCGUGCGUAGAUGGUUUGUUAAGUCGAAUGUGAAAGCCCCGGGCUCAACCUGGGAACUGCAUCCGAUACUGGCAGACUAGAGUGUGGUAGAGGAUGGCGGAAUUCCCGGUGUAGCGGUGAAAUGCGUAGAGAUCGGGAGGAACAUCCGUGGCGAAGGCGGCCAUCUGGACCAACACUGACGUUGAGGCACGAAAGCGUGGGGAGCAAACAGG